GACGAACGCUGGCGGCGUGCUUAACACAUGCAAGUCGAACGGAAAGGCCCUGCUUUUGUGGGGUGCUCGAGUGGCGAACGGGUGAGUAACACGUGAGUAACCUGCCCUUGACUUUGGGAUAACUUCAGGAAACUGGGGCUAAUACCGGAUAGGAGCUCCUGCUGCAUGGUGGGGGUUGGAAAGUUUCGGCGGUUGGGGAUGGACUCGCGGCUUAUCAGCUUGUUGGUGGGGUAGGUGCUUACCAAGGCUUUGACGGGUAGCCGGCCUGAGAGGGGUGACGGGGUGAAUAGGCCUAAGGUAAGCAGCAGACGCCUACGGGAGGCAGCAGUGGGAAGACUGACACAGCCAGCGGAAGCCUGAUACAACGGUGCUGCGAGCGGGAAGAGCUGGUUCGGGUGGUGAACCGAUUUCGCCGGGAACGAAGCGUUCUUGACGGUAAUGGAUAAGAAAGCAACGGCUAACUACGUG
Molecule: ribosomal RNA, 468 nt
Filed under: uncultured bacterium
Lineage: Bacteria
Description: partial 16S ribosomal RNA
Rfam family: Bacterial small subunit ribosomal RNA
Source: RNAcentral